Molecule: unclassified non-coding RNA, 335 nt
Filed under: soil metagenome
Description: partial contains 5.8S ribosomal RNA, internal transcribed spacer 2, and large subunit ribosomal RNA
Rfam family: 5.8S ribosomal RNA (bases 1-119)
Source: RNAcentral
GAUGAAGAACGUAGCGAAAUGCGAUACGUAAUGUGAAUUGCAAAUUCAGUGAAUCAUCGAGUCUUUGAACGCACAUUGCGCACCUUGGUAUUCCAUGGGGCAUGCCUGUUCGAGCGUCAUUUGUACCUUCAAGCUUUGCUUGGUGUUGGGUGUUUGUCUCGCCUUUGCGUGUAGACUCGCCUUAAAAUAAUUGGCAGCCGGCGUAUUGAUUUCGGAGCGCAGUACAUCUCGCGCUUUGCACUCAUAACGACAGCGUCCAAAAGUACAUUUUACACUCUUGACCUCGGAUCAGGUAGGGAUACCCGCUGAACUUAAGCAUAUCAAUAAGCGGAGGA